GAUGAACGCUGACAGAAUGCUUAACACAUGCAAGUCAACUUGAACUUCGGUUUGGGUGGCGGACGGGUGAGUAACGCGUAAAGAACUUGCCUCACAGAUAGGGACAACAUUUGGAAACGAAUGCUAAUACCUGAUAUUAUGAUUAUAUGGCAUCGUAUAAUUAUGAAAGCUAUAUGCGCUGUGAGAGAGCUUUGCGUCCCAUUAGCUAGUUGGAGAGGUAACGGCUCACCAAGGCGAUGAUGGGUAGCCGGCCUGAGAGGGUGAUCGGCCACAAGGGGACUGAGACACGGCCCUUACUCCUACGGGAGGCAGCAGUGGGGAAUAUUGGACAAUGGACCAAGAGUCUGAUCCAGCAAUUCUGUGUGCACGAUGAAGUUUUUCGGAAUGUAAAGUGCUCUCAGUUGGGAAGAAAAAAAUGACGGUACCAACAGAAGAAGUGACGGCUAAAUACGUG
RNAcentral lists this ribosomal RNA (454 nucleotides) under uncultured bacterium. RNAcentral's name for it is "partial 16S ribosomal RNA". It matches the Rfam family "Bacterial small subunit ribosomal RNA", at positions 28 to 507 of the family's 1533-position model. The record is from RNAcentral.